Molecule: ribosomal RNA, 827 nt
Filed under: uncultured Bacteroidota bacterium
Lineage: Bacteria; Pseudomonadati; Bacteroidota
Description: bacterial SSU rRNA
Rfam family: Bacterial small subunit ribosomal RNA
Source: RNAcentral
CCGUAGCAAUACGGUACUGGCGCACGGCGCACGGGUGCGUAACACGUGGGUAAUCUGCCCUCUGAUGGGGAAUAACCCGCCGAAAGGCGGGCUAAUUCCGCAUAACAUUCCUUGGACUCCGGUUCGAGGAUUCAAAGGCGUAAGUCGUCGGAGGUGGAGCCCGCGCACGAUUAGCUAGUUGGUGAGGUAAUGGCUCACCAAGGCUAUGAUCGUUAGCUGGUCUGAGAGGAUGGCCAGCCACACUGGAACUGAGACACGGUCCAGACUCCUACGGGAGGCAGCAGUGGGGAAUCUUGCACAAUGGGCGAAAGCCUGAUGCAGCGACGCCGCGUGGGGGAUGAAGCUUCUCGGAGUGUAAACCCCUUUCGACCGGGACGAAUACCUCGCAAGAGGGGUGACGGUACCGGUAUAAGAAGCCCCGGCUAACUACGUGCCAGCAGCCGCGGUAAGACGUGGGGGGCCAGCGUUGCUCGGAAUUACUGGGUGUAAAGGGUUCGUAGGCGGUGUGGCAAGUCGGGAGUGAAAUCUCUGGGCUUAACUCAGGGGCUGCUUCCGAAACUGCCGUGCUAGAGUGUGGGAGAGGCGCGUGGAAUUGCAGGUGUAGCGGUGAAAUGCGUAGAUAUCUGCAGGAACACCCGUGGCGAAAGCGGCGCGCUGGACCACUACUGACGCUGAGGAACGAAAGCUAGGGGAGCAAACAGGAUUAGAUACCCUGGUAGUCCUAGCCCUAAACGAUCAGGACUUGGGGUGCCACCCGUUCGGGUGUCGUCCCGGAGCUAACGCGUUAAGUCCUGCACCUGGGGAGUACGGUCGCAAGACUGAAACUC